GACACUUUGGCCGAGUGGUUAAGGCGACAGACUUGAAUUUCAUCUUCUGAUAUAAAUUCCGACAUCUGUUUCAUUCGUGAGCGCAGGUUCGAACCCUGCAGGUGUCG
This 107-nucleotide transfer RNA is filed under the name Alectoria fallacina. It matches the Rfam family "tRNA". Rfam says of the family: Transfer RNA (tRNA) molecules are approximately 80 nucleotides in length. Their secondary structure includes four short double-helical elements and three loops (D, anti-codon, and T loops). The record is from Rfam by way of RNAcentral. Lineage: Eukaryota; Fungi; Ascomycota; Lecanoromycetes; Lecanorales; Parmeliaceae.